RNAcentral lists this ribosomal RNA (847 nucleotides) under uncultured bacterium. Its description in RNAcentral is "bacterial SSU rRNA". It matches the Rfam family "Bacterial small subunit ribosomal RNA", at positions 24 to 808 of the family's 1533-position model. The record is from RNAcentral.
GGAGGACUAACGCUGGCGGCGUGCCUAAUACUUGCAAGUCGAACGGGGAUUUUGUUUCGGCAGAAUCCUAGUGGCGAACGGGUGAGUAACGCGUAGGCAACCUGCCCUCCGGCCGGGGACAACACUCCGAAAGGGGUGCUAAUACCGGAUACGAAGUCUGUGCCGCAUGGUACGGAUUUGAAAGAUGGCCUCUAUUUAUAAGCUAUCGCCGGGGGAUGGGCCUGCGUCCGAUUAGCUGGUUGGUGGGGUAACGGCCCUACCAAGGCGACGAUCGGUAGCCGGUCUGAGAGGAUGAACGGCCACAUUGGGACUGAGACACGGCCCAGACUCCUACGGGAGGCAGCAGUGGGGGAAUCUUCCGCAAUGGGGCGCAAGCCUGACGGAGCAUCGCCCGUCCGCAAUGGGCGCAAGCCUGACGGAGCAAACGCCGCGUGAGUGAGGAAAGUUCUUCGGAACGUAAAGCUCUGUUGUUCCUGACGAACCUCCCCUCUAUGAACAACGGAGGGGACUGACGGUAGGGAACGAGGAAGCCACGGCUAACUACGUGCCAGCAGCCGCGGUAAUACGUAGGUGGCAAGCGUUGUCCGGAAUUAUUGGGCGUAAAGCGCAUGUAGGCGGUAAUUUAAGUCUGUCGUGAAACUGCGGGGCUCAGCCCCGUAUGGCGAUGGAAACUGGGUUACUUGAGUGCAGGAGAGGAAAGGGGAACUCCCAGUGUAGCGGUGAAAUGCGUAGAUAUUGGGAAGAACACCGGUGGCGAAGGCGCCUUUCUGGACUGUGUCUGACGCUGAGAUGCGAAAGCCAGGGUAGCGAACGGGAAGAGAUACCCCGGUAGUCCUGGCCGUAAACG